This is a long non-coding RNA of Macaca mulatta (Rhesus monkey), 2042 nucleotides long. The record is from Ensembl. Lineage: Eukaryota; Metazoa; Chordata; Mammalia; Primates; Cercopithecidae.
ACUCCGGACACUGGCUGCCGAGGCGCCGGGCUGCGAGCUCUGGGACGCGCCUAACUUGGAAAGCGUCUUGCUUGCCCAGCGCGCGCUACUUCUCGGGCGAGCACCCUGCGCCGGGGCACAUGCUGCCCCCGCCCCUGCGCGCCUGCGGCUCCCGGCUCUCCCUCCCCUGCGCCGCGCUCUCGCCUCGCUUUCCGCGGGAGCCUUCCAACCGGUCCUGGGGAGAAGGACGGGAGCUGUGGGAAGAGCGAGGGUGUAGAGAGGGAAGUUAGGGCUUCCGCUUUCUCCCCCAACUCCAGCGGCGGCGUUCAGUCCUCUGGGUGGAAUGUGCUCUCAGCGGCAGUGACGGCGGCCACAGCACUGGAGGCACCCGAGCCAUACACCCUGCAGCUGGAGAGGAAAGGAUGGCCGAGGUGGGAGAGACUAGAGUGAACCAGCAGGAGGAAGUCCUAGGGCCGCGAAGCUACGGCGGAGAUCUGUCCUGGAAAAGCCUUCUCCACCCUGGGCACUUUAAGCGGCGGUGGCGGCAAACAGCAGGAGGUUGCAGACCCGACAGCGAGCCUGCCUCAUUCCAGUCUUGCUCUGCCCUCCGGAGAUGACAAGUGAGAAAGAAGUGUCCGGCCGGGCCAUCCCCUUCAGACAGAAAAUCAAAGCUAUUUAAAGUAAAGGAUUUGUUUCAAAUCAAGUUACCAAGAAUAACUGUAGAAUGUGCUGGGAAUGCAAUGUCCUGAGAUAAGGAGGAACUGCCUGAAACAGCCUGGACCUUAUUCCUGUACUUCCUAGGGAAUGUAACAUCUCAAGUUAAAGAGGGACUGCCUGGGACAGCCCUGGGAUUGUUCCUCUCUCCUGGGAAGGAAGAUCACCUCCAAAGCUUAUCCAUUGAGUCACACUACCCCUGUGGUGGCAGGCUGCCUCUCCAGGUUCCUCAGCUGUGGUGCAACAGAAGCAAGCACAAUCAAGACUCCAUCUGUUCAAGGCAGCUUUCUCAAACCUUGGGGAACCUACUCACAAUGGAUCACAGGCUUCUUUUGUUUCUUGCUGCUUAUCUUGGGAAGCAAAAAUCAGCUGAGUGAAGAUGAGGAAGAAGGUGUUAAAGGUUUGAAGAGAAAAAAUGAAAAGGAUAUACUAAUCCAAGGGGAUGCGCCUGGAGUAGCUGGAGAGGUGGAUUUAAUAGGAUUGAGGAUCAAGCAACUACAACCAGGGAAGAGUGGGACAAGGGAGAUAAAGGAUAUUGGCAGGGGAACAAUUAUAAACAUGGACCAUGAUCAAAACUGAAUUUGAAGGAAAAUAGGGAUAAGAGGGGUGGAAGGUAAAAAAUAGUGGAAAUGAGAUAGAAUUAAUAGAUUGUAGGUCCCUGUAAAGUUGAAGAAGUAUUAUUAUGCAGUACUCGUUAUUGAAAUGAGGUCACUAUGCUUAAGGCACAGUGAAUCCUAGAAAACAGUGGCUUUUGUUUCUCAUUAGGCAAUACAUUCCUCUUUGCUCCAGAAUGCAACAUACAUGCAUCCUUUUCUGUACUAUUAUUUAUUAAGAAUUCAUACUUAAUUCUACUGACUGACACUCAAUUUUAAUGUACAGUAGGGAAUUCCUGUACUAUAUAUUAUGAAUCCAUUCCUUUGAAUUUCAUUUAUAAUACUUCAUGACUGACACCUGGUUUUCCACCAAGACUCAAUUUUCAUAGCAAACCUCAUCAUCAUAAGCCCCCAAAUUAACAGGAUGAGGAGGAAGAAUUGGCAGGCUAAAGAAGAUGAUUAUAUCAAUUAAUGCAGAGAAAGCACUUGAUAAAAUCCAAUAUUCGUUUGUAAUUAAAAACUCUCAACAAGUUAGGAAUAGAUAGGAAUUACUUCAACUUAAUGAAGAGUAUCUUUAAAAACCUUGAGUAUUUUCAUCAAUUAUAACAAAUGUACCACUCUGGUGGUGAAUGUUGAUAAGGAGGGAAGCUAUACAUGUGUGGGGAAAGGAGAUAUGUGAGCAAUUUCUGUACCUUCUACUCAAUUUUCUGUGAGCCUAAACUUGCUGUAAAAAAUAAAGUUCAUUUUUUUAAAAAA